AUUUAUUUAUUUAUUAUUUUUUUAAUGGACAUGGCCAUGUACUGUAACCUAUGUGCCUUUAGUGUUUAUUACUGCACUGUCUAACAACUAACAUGAUUAACAGUGAUGGUCUAUGAUGGGUCGAGGGAGGCGUCUGGCCCUUGGCAUCUUUGUCCUGCUGGUGGUCGACGUCAUUUGGGUGGCUUCAUCAGAAUUGUCGGAGUAUAUCUUCAAUGAUACCGGCUUCAAUAAACCUUUUUUCAGUACAUACUUAAAGACCAGUAUGUUUUCACUAUAUUUGCUGGGAUUUAUAUUUUGGAGCCCCUGGAGACACCAAUGUGCCCAAAGAAACCACGAUGAGAGUAUUUACCAGGAAGUGGAUUCAAUGGAGGAUGAAGAUUUACCGCUGUCAGAUGUUUGACGAGAGACAGGCGCACCCCUCCACCUGUGCCCAUCUUCACUUUGGACCAGCUGGCAUCUAGUGUUGCGAGAGACAGUGAUGCGAAUGCUCAACUGACACAUUUGGUCCUGUGGCACUAUUUACCCAUUCAACAAGCUAGAACGAUUUAUAACAACAAUGAUGAAAAGAGUGAACCAAAGUAUGUUCCUCUGAAACUACAAGAAUUGCAAGAAAAAAGCUCUGAUGGAGAAUCUGAUGACUCUUCAGUAAAGUCCGUCCGCUUCAGCAAAUUGACAGAGGUAUGUAGUGAUGCUUCUUUUAAGAGAAUACCAGUAACUAUUUAAAUUUAAAGGUAAGUCUAGAUUGUUGGGAAUGUAAUUACUGAAAGUGAAGAUCUUCAACAAAUUCUUUAUGUCCAGGGCUUAGUUUUGGAAUUUCUGUAGUUCAAGACAGAGUUAAUAUGAUUUAAAUCAGAGUGAAAAAAUCAUGAUUAGAUUUUAUUUUACUUAUUUUUUUUAUACUAAUAAUAGAAACUAUAUUUUCCCUUGAGAUUCUUUGUGGUAGUAUAGCUACAGUUGAUAUAAUUCAGCUCCCCACUAACUUGAAUAAUUGAUGCAGAGCUCUUCCGGGAAUGAGAGAUUUCCCGGUAAUGAUACAAAUUUCUCAAACCCGGAAAAUUCAACAUUCCUGGAAUUUUUUAUUGGUAAAAGAAUACUACUUCGCUAUUCGCAACCCCAUUCUCAUGGUGGGAGGCUACUGUCUUGCCUUUCAAGAAGACUUGAAAAGAGGCUCUUUGCCCUCGAGAAUAUUGCCCCAUAGUUCUUAUCUCCUGUAUCUGCAAGCUGUUUGAAAAGAUGGUCAAGUCUCGAUUAGUAUACUACCUGGGGAAGAAUGCCCUUCUUUCACCAUAUUAAUCUGGCUUCCGGAUGAUGCUGCAACAACAGAUGCUCUUGUUUGUAUUGAGUCCUCGGUCUGUGAGUCCUUUGCUCAUUGCCAACAUCUCAUCUGUAUUUAUUCGACCUAGAGAAAGCAUAUGACACAGCUUGGAGAUUCGGCAUCUUUAAGGACCUUCAAAAUUUUGGCUUGCAGGGAAAUUUACCAUCAAUAAUAGGUCAGUUCUUGGGCUGUUGGACUUUUAGGGUCCACAUUGCCACAGAAAUGUCAGCACCACAUAUUCAGGACCAUUGCAAUAAAUGGGGUAACAGCUUCUCAUUGUAUGUAGACAACUUGGCCACUUGGUAUGCAGCUUCCCGCAAGUUAGUGGCUGAACGUCACAUGCAACUUGCACUAGAUAAGGCUUUUCAUUGGACCACAGAGCAUGGUUUCAA
This 1707-nucleotide unclassified non-coding RNA is filed under the name Homarus americanus (American lobster). RNAcentral describes it as "solute carrier family 35 member F5-like, transcript variant X3". Lineage: Eukaryota; Metazoa; Arthropoda; Malacostraca; Decapoda; Nephropidae. The record is from RNAcentral.